This 1519-nucleotide ribosomal RNA is filed under the name metagenome. Its description in RNAcentral is "bacterial SSU rRNA". It matches the Rfam family "Bacterial small subunit ribosomal RNA". The record is from RNAcentral.
AGAGUUUGAUCCUGGCUCAGAUCGAACGCUGGCGGCGUGGCUAAAACAUGCAAGUCGAACGGAAAGGCCCUACUAGUUUACUAGCUGGGCACUCGAGUGGCGAACUGGUGAGUAAUGUUUGGGUAACGUACCUUGGACACCGGGAUAGCUGUGGGAAACUACGGGUAAUACCGGAUAAGACUACAGCAUCUACGGGUGCAGUAGUAAAAGGCGGGGAUCUCUUCGGAGACCUGGCAGUCCAAGAGCGGCCCAAAUCCUAUCAGCUUGUUGGUGAGGUAAUGGCUCACCAAGGCUUCGACGGGUAUCGGGACUGAGAGGUUGACCCGGCACAUUGGGACUGAGACACUGCCCAAACUCCUACGGGAGGCUGCAGUAACGAAUAUUGGACAAUGAGCGAAAGCUUGAUCCAGCGACGCCGCGUGCAGGACGAAGUCCUUCGGGAUGUAAACUGCUGUCAGGGACCACCAAGCGAUUGGGGCUAACAUCCCCAUGAGUUGAGGAAUCCCAGAGGAAGUCACGGCUAACUUCGUGCCAGCAGCCGCGGUAAUACGAAGGUGGCAAGCGUUGUUCGGAAUCACUGGGCUUAAAGCGUACGUAGGCGGGCCUUCAAGCGUCGUGUGAAAUCCCUCGGCUUAACCGGGGAAGUGCACGGCGAACUAGAGGUCUUGAGACAGGGAGAGGCAAGUGGAACUCUUGGUGGAGCGGUGGAAUGCGUAGAUAUCAAGGGGAACACCGGCGGCGAAAGCGUCUUGCUGGCCCUGUUCUGACGCUGAGGUACGAAAGCUAGGGGAGCGAACGGGAUUAGAUACCCCGGUAGUCCUAGCUAUAAACGAUGUGCACUAGAUUGAAGGUCCUUUGACGGACUUUCGGCCGAAAUGAAAACGUUAAGUGCACCGCCUGGGGAGUACGGUCGCAAGGCUAAAACUCAAAGGAAUUGACGGGGGCUCACACAAGCGGUGGAGCAUGUUGCUCAAUUCGAUCAACGCGAAGAACCUUAUCCUGGGCUUGACAUGUUCGGAUGCUUUCUUAAGAAAUUUUGAAGGCUGCCUUCGGGUGAAACGAUCACAGGUGCUGCAUGGCUGUCGUCAGCUCGUGUCGUGAGAUGUUGGGUUAAGUCCCGUAACGAGCGAAACCCUUAUCGUUAGUUGCCAGCGCGUAAUGGCGGGGACUCUAGCGAGACUGCCGGUGUCAAACCGGAGGAAGGUGGGGAUGACGUCAAGUCCUCAUGGCCUUUAUGCCCAGGGCUGCAAACGUGCUACAAUGGCGUGUACAAAACGAAGCAAGACCGCGAGGUGGAGCAAAUCGGCAAAAGCACGCCCCAGUUCGGAUUGAAGUCUGCAAUUCGACUUCAUGAAGUAGGAAUCGCUAGUAAUCGCGUAUCAGCGUGACGCGGUGAAUAUGUUCCUGAGCCUUGUACACACCGCCCGUCAAGUCAUGGAAGUCGGGAGUACCCGUAGUCGUGUCAAAUCAGGCAUGCCGAAGGUAAGUUCGGUGACUGGGACUAAGUCGAAACAAGGUA